GCCACACAUCAACGUAUUCAGUGAAAACACUUCUUUAGGAUAUGUCAGUUAUGCUGAACAAAGAGAGAAGAAUUAAUUACAUAUCUUUGCCUUAGAAUAAGAUUUUCAUUUCUAUUAAUUCUUAUAUAUAAAAUCGAACUGAUGCCUCUUGCAAGCAUCUUUUGUAUGAUUUUUCAUUGGUUUAAGCAGAGUUAGAUGUCAGAGUUCAUUUUAAUUUAAAAAAAUUUAAGCUUUAGGAUUUGACAAAUGUAUUUCUUUCAAUAUGCAGCUGUGGAAGACACUGAAAUACGUGAGCUAUUAUAUCUAUUUUAAGUAGCAAGAAUAGAAACUUCAAAAUAAUUACAUUUCUAUAGCUAAUGCUUGAAGAUAGUUUAAUGUGGUGGUUGGAUGCACAAACUCUGGAGAUGACUUCAUGAACUUAAAUUCUGUAUUUCUCCAUUUGUAAAAGGAGACAAUGAUAAUAUUUGCUUUUCAAGGUUUUCAUAAGCAUAAGCAUUAAAUGAAUUAAUACAUUUAACAAGGGUCUUUUUUUUUUUUUUUUUUUGUGAGGCAGAGUCUAUCGCCCUGGUUGGAGUGCAGCAGUGUAAUCAUAGCUCACUGCUGCCAUGAACUUCUGGGCUUAAGCGAUCCUCCCACCUCAGCCUCCCUGUGUGCUGAGAUUAAAAGUGUGAGCCACCAUGCCUCAUCGUAAGGGUCUUCAAAGAAACCCUAUUUCAUAAGAACCGACUGCCGAGGAAAUUCAAAACACAUCCAUGAAAGCAGAAAAUUAUAAUGUGACAAGUGAAGAAUUGAAAUGGAUUCACCCUAAAAGCAGAGCCAAAUAUCAGCCAUUGUCAUGGGCCCCUAGGAGGACUGAGUCUGGUGAUGCACGAAUACCAGAAUGCAAGUGUGGUGCAAUGACAGCAAUAACACAUGUGUGCACCUUGAAGCCAGAGGGAUGGAAACCCCAGCCAAUGCCUCUUUCUCUUUUUCAGCCAUGUUUGCUUUCCAUAUGCUGGAUGAUGUGUAUGGAUUUUCAGUGUGUGUUUCAGAGUCUUAAAAGCUCAUGCUAGCUUGCUUAACAUACCUCUAUAACUCAUGAUAUAGAACCCUAGGGAGAACUGUGUUGCAACAUGGAUGCAGUGCCUAUACUAAGGCACACUGCCAACCUGAAGACUGUCAGAGAGCAUCACUAACGGAGGUAAGCCAGUAGGGUCUAAAAAUCUUCACAGAGAGAAGGUAUGACCGGAUGAUAGUCCAUUAAAUUGCGUUGAGGUGCAGCACUAUGUUCUAAAUUGGUGUACCCCACGAAUUUAUAUGUUGAGGCCUAAUACCCAAUGUGAUAGUAUUAAGAGGUAUGGCCUUUAGGAAGUGAUUAAGUCAUAAGGUGAGGGCUUGACCCUUAUGAAUGAGAAUAGUGACCUUAUAAAAGAGGCUUGAGUGAGCUCCCUGGCCCUUUUUUGCCAUGUAAGGAUGCAGCAACAAGUCACCAUCUAUUAAGCCAAUUACCAGACACCAAAUCUACUGGUGCUUUGAUGUUGGACUUCCCAGCCUCCAGACCUCUAAGAAAUAAAUCUCUGUUGUUUAUAAAUUACCGAGUCUAAAGUACUUUGUUAUAGCAGCCUGAAUAGACUAAGACAUGCAGCAAGUGAAUAGAUCACUCACUGUAGCCUGGAUCUGUCCUUCAUUAUGACAGGGUUAUUUCUCGUACUGGACAUAGGUCACCUUUGCUAACCUCUUACAGAAAUUCUAAACUUUGUGACAGGAAAUGCAGAAGUGUGAGAGAAGAACAAGGAGCUAUGUGAAGAAGAGAGAUGGAAAUGGAUUGAGACUGUUGAAAUAGGAGAAAAUAUCUUGGUUUUGACAUCAUUUCCAAAGAAUCAUAGUUAUCAAAUAAAAAAUUUCACAAUUAUCCAAAAUUAUAAUAAGAAUUCAGUGGCUGGCAAAAUGGCUGAAUAGGAACAGCUCUGGUGUGCAGCUCCCAGUGAGAUGAACACAGAAGAUGGGUAAUUUCUGCAUUUCCAACUGAGGUACUUGGCUCAUCUCUUUGGGACUGGCUAGACAGUGGGUGAAGCCCAUGGAGGGCAAGCUGAAGCAGGGUGGGACAUUGCCUUACCUGGGAAGUGCAAGGGGUCAGGGAACUCCCUCCCCUAGCCAAGGGAAGCCAUGAAGGACUCUGACAUGAGGAAUGGUGCACUCCUGCCCAGAUACUACGCUUUUCCCAUGGUCUAUGCAACCCACAGACCAGGAGAUUCCCUCGGGUGCCUAUGCCACCAGGGCCCUGAGUUUCAAGCAUAAAACUGGGCGGCCAUCCCAAGCUAGCUGCAGGAGUUUCUUUUCAUACCCCAGUGGUACCAGGAACAUUUAAGUCUGCUGAAGCUGCGCCCACAGCUGCCCCUUCCCCCAAGUGAUCUGUCCCAG
This is a long non-coding RNA of Pan paniscus (pygmy chimpanzee), 2400 nucleotides long. The record is from Ensembl. NCBI's taxonomy places the organism in Eukaryota, Metazoa, Chordata, Mammalia, Primates, Hominidae.